AAAUGUCAACGUGGGAAAACGAGAUCUUGAGGUUUUUUACAGGCUGCUGGGCGCAGUUGUUGCCAAAGGUUCAGCUUGCGGAGGAUGUGAAGGGAACUCUUCCGGCGAUCUCGAAAACCCCAGGCCAUAAAUGGGACCGAAAAGGCCGCUCCCCAAGGUCGCUGUAAGACCUUUCAAAGAAGCAGCGGUCCGUUACAGCACAACGUGUUCACGUCACAGGGUGCUCUAAUACCAACUAAACUUUGAAAUAAAACGUAUUAAAAGUCACUUUUCUUGCACAACUUUAUUUGUAACACUUAAUAUAAUACAAAUAUUGUUGGUUUGUAAAAAAGUCCAGCGCCAUUCCAAACAUUUUAAAGAUUGAGACUAAGGCCCUAGAAGGGACUUUUUGUGCACAUUAUUAAGCUCAACGAUGGUCGUCCUAGUCUUUCUAUUAUAAAUGACGGUACAUGGAAGACACUGAAAUAAGACUACACGAAUGACAAGAAGAAGUAUCUAAACUUUUGUUGUUUCUUAUAUCGAUUAAAAAAUGUACACUACGACAUCAUCUCCAUCUCUCAGGAAGUGGCUGAUCAUGUGACCAAAGUUAUGAUCAAUGUAUCUAGAGUGGCGCACGUGGCCGUUUGAAAAUUUUCCAAUGGGAGUUAUUUUGUCAGCUGCUGUA
Ixodes scapularis (black-legged tick) is the source of this 664-nucleotide long non-coding RNA. RefSeq lists it as uncharacterized. Lineage: Eukaryota; Metazoa; Arthropoda; Arachnida; Ixodida; Ixodidae. The transcript is spliced from 3 exons. The record is from RefSeq and is a predicted model, not a curated record.